AUGGGCACCGGAGGCAAGGGAUAUAAGCCCCCUGCCCUGCAGCUGGAGAAGCUGCUGGCGCUCGGCCUCGACCAGCGAACGGCGGAGAACGCGCUUGUCAACAGCAAGGUCACGGCCAACCUAGCCGCCGUCAUAGCCGAGGCUGGUAUCAGUUGGUGUGACAAGUCAGUAGGGAAUCUUCUUUAUGCCGUUGCCACCAAAUACCCAAACAAUGCACUUGUCCAUCGUCCUGCUCUCAUCGACUAUAUCGUGUCCAUGAAAAUAAAGAACCCUGCACAGCUGGACGCUGCUCUGUCAUUUCUUACUAAUGUUGGUCCUGAUCCUUUGGAUACUGGGAAGUUUGAAGAAGCCUGUGGUGUAGGCGUGGUUGUUUCAAUUGAAGAGAUUCAUUCAACUGUCACCAAGGUUCUACAUGAAAAUAUGGAAGCUAUAUUGGAGCAGCGUUAUCAUAUAAAUGUUGGUAACCUAUGCGGACAGGUUAGGAAGAGACACCCCUGGGGUGAUGCUAAGGCGACAAAGGAGGAGAUCGAGAAAAGGCUUGCAGAGAUAUUGGGUCCAAAGACGGAAGCUGACAAUGUAAAACCAGUAAAAACAAAGAAAGGAAAACCAGCAAAAUCUGAGGAGAAAAAGGUUGCAGUAGCUACUGUUGCCCCACCAUCUGAGGACCUGAAUCCAUACUCACAUUUUCCUGAGCCGGCAGAAAACAACAAGGUUCAUACAGAAAUAUUCUUCAGCGAUGGGAACAUAUGGAGGGCACAUAACACAAAGGAGAUUUUAGAGAAACAUCUUAUGGCAACUGGUGGAAAAGUGACGACCCGUUUUCCUCCAGAACCUAAUGGAUAUCUUCAUAUCGGUCAUGCCAAGGCUAUGUUUAUUGAUUUUGGACUGGCUAAAGAGCGGAAUGGCUAUUGUUACCUUCGGUUUGAUGACACAAACCCUGAAGCUGAAAAGAAGGAAUAUAUAGACCACAUUCAGGAGAUAGUCCAUUGGCUGGGUUGGGAGCCCUACAAAGUUACAUAUACAAGUGAUUAUUUUCAAGCUUUGUAUGAGCAUGCAGUUGAGUUAAUACAGAAAGGGCUGGCCUAUGUAGAUCACCAGAUCAAGGAAGGCAGGGAAAAUAACUUGGAUAGUCCAUGGAGGGAUAGACCUAUUGAAGAGUCACUAAAGUUAUUUGAAGACAUGCGGCGUGGGCUAAUUGCUGAGGGCGCAGCAACUCUGCGAAUGAAGCAGGACAUGCAGAAUGAUACCAGAAACAUGUACGACUUGAUUGCAUACAGAGUAAAAUUCACCCCUCAUCCGCAUGCUGGUGACAAGUGGUGUAUCUAUCCAAGCUAUGAUUAUGCUCAUUGCAUGGUGGAUUCAUUUGAAAACAUUACUCACUCGCUGUGCACGCUUGAGUUUGACGUACGUCGUCCGUCAUACUACUGGGUACUUGUUGCCUUGGGCUUGUACCAGCCAUAUGUUUGGGAGUAUUCAAGGCUGAACAUAUCACAUAAUAUUAUGUCUAAAAGAAAGUUGAAUCGGCUUGUGACAGAGAAGUGGGUAGAUGGGUGGGAUGAUCCUCGUUUGUUAACACUGGCAGGACUGCGGCGACGGGGGGUGUCAGCAGCUACAAUUAAUUCAUUUAUCCGUGGAAUGGGGAUAACAAGAUGUGACAAUAGCUUAAUUCCUUUCGAACGUCUUGAAUAUCACAUCAGAGAAGAACUUAACAAAACAGCUUCUCGAGCCAUGGUUGUUCUGCAUCCUCUAAAGGUUGUAAUAACUAACUUGGAAGAUGGAAAAGUCAUAGACCUUGAUGGAAAGAAGUGGCCUGAUGCUCCUGCUGAUGAAGCUUCGUCGUACUACAAGGUUCCUUUCUCAAGAACUGUCUACAUUGAAAAAACUGAUUUUCGCCUCGAGGACCCGAAAGACUAUUAUGGGCUAGCUCCUGGUAAAUCCGCCCUGCUAAGGUAUGCGUUCCCGAUAAAAUGCACAGAGGUUAUUCAUGGCGAUAAUCCAGAUGACAUUGGUGAGAUUCGAGCUGAGUAUGACCCCUCAAAGACCUCUAAACCCAAGGGUGUUCUGCACUGGGUUGCCGAGCCAGCGCCUGGAGUCGAACCGCUAAAGGUGGAAAUAAGACUGUUUGAGAAGCUGUUCUUAUCAGAGAAUCCUGCCGGGCUGGAGGAUAAAGAGCCGGAGGGCACAGCCUGGCUGCGCGAUCUCAACCCGCACUCGAAGGAGGUCGUGAAGGGCGCGUAUGCAGUACCAUCGCUCGCAGCCGCGGUUGUGGGCAACAAGUUCCAGUUUGAGCGGCUCGGCUACUUUGCCGUGGACACGGACUCGACGCCCGAGAAGCUCGUGUUUAACAGGACCGUCACGCUGCGCGACUCGUAUGGGAAGGCCGGGGGACCCAGGUGA
Molecule: ribosomal RNA, 2397 nt
Filed under: Triticum aestivum (bread wheat)
Lineage: Eukaryota; Viridiplantae; Streptophyta; Magnoliopsida; Poales; Poaceae
Description: partial small subunit ribosomal RNA
Source: RNAcentral